This 224-nucleotide unclassified non-coding RNA is filed under the name uncultured Gammaproteobacteria bacterium. Its description in RNAcentral is "contains 16S-23S intergenic spacer region". The record is from RNAcentral. Lineage: Bacteria; Pseudomonadati; Pseudomonadota; Gammaproteobacteria.
UCCGGUUUGUCACCGGCAGUCUCCUUAGAGUUCCCAGCAUAACCUGAUGGCAACUAAGGACAAGGGUUGCGCUCGUUACGGGACUUAACCCAACAUCUCACGACACGAGCUGACGACAGCCAUGCAGCACCUGUCACUGAGCUCCCGAAGGCACCAAUCUAUCUCUAGAAAGUUCUCAGGAUGUCAAGGCCAGGUAAGGUGGGGAUGACGUAGUACACCUGAAC